UUUUUUUUUUCUCAAAUCACGCGAAGAGUAAUGUGCCUACGGUUCCUCGUUUCUGCAUGGAUACGUGUUCCUAAAUGUCUGUGUCAACGUUCUCUGUGAUUUUAGCACACUCUCCUGUGUCAACAUUCUCGGUUCUUCAACUAGAAGCCUCGAAUUGACUGCAUGUCUGCAUAUAUGAAAUUCAUGAAUUCUAUUGCUUCUGAAAAUUGCACUGUAUUAACACAGUACUAGUUCUCCUUGGGUGAAACUCCGAGUCCGUCUCUGUUCCUUUGCCGAGGGAAAAUCCGGUCGAGUCCGAUUUUGUGCUGGAGUUCUGAAACCGAUUCGGAGUUGACACCUGAAGAGACCCCCCAAAUAAAACGAGAGGCCAGGGUACGCCCUCUCCAUCAACCCAAACACCACGAUCAGAGCUCAGCUGAUCGACAACAGCAAACCAGAACCACCGCCUACUCGAAGCAACAGCAACCAUGGCACGGAGGACGACGAAGCUGCCUCAGAUCGCGACGAUCCUGCUCGCCGUCCUGCUGCUCCUGCCGUCGGCCGCCAUGGGCAAGGCCAUCGACGCCACCAAGACCCAGCGCCUCGACCUACCCGACGGGCUGAUCGGCCCCGAGAGCGUCGCCUUCGACCGCCGUGGCGCCGGGCCCUACGUCAGCAUCUCUGACGGCCGCAUCCUCAAGUACGCCGGCAAGAGCGUCGGGUUUACCACUUUCGCGUACAGCCCUAGCUACAUCAAGAACAACUGCGACGCACCGUCUGAGCUCCCAUCGGUCGCCACCGAGAGCUCGUGCGGCCGGCCGCUUGGCCUUCGGUUCCACAACAACUCUGGCGAUCUGUACAUCGCGGACGCAUACAUGGGGCUGAUGCGCGUCGGGCCGAACGGUGGGGAGGCGACCGUGCUUGCAACCGAGGCCGGCGGUGCGCCGCUGCGCUUCACCAACGGGGUGGACGUCGACCAGGUCACCGGGGAUGUCUACUUUACCGAUAGUAGCACGACGUACACGCGGGCGCAGCAUCAGAUGGUCACCGCGUCGGGAGACUCGACGGGACGGAUUAUGAGAUACAACCGACGGACUAACAAGGUGACCGUGCUCCAGUCCGGCGUGACAUACCCCAAUGGCAUCGCUAUCAGCGCCGACAGGAGCCACCUCAUCGUCGCCCUCACUGGACCAUGCAAGCUGAUGAGGUAUUGGAUCCGAGGGCCUAAGGCAGGGACAUCCGAGUUGUUCGCUGACCUGCCGGGAUACCCGGACAAUGUGAGGCCUGAUGGAAAGGGAGGAUAUUGGGUGGCGUUGCACCGUGAGAAGUAUGAGCUCCCGUUUGGAAAGGACAGCCACUUGGUCGCUAUUAGGAUCGGCGCUGAAGGUGAGAAGCUGCAAGAGAUGAGGGGUCCCAAGGAUGUUCGGCCAACAGAGGCAGUGGAACGAGGGGACGGCAAAAUUUAUCUUGGAUCCGUAGAGUUGUCAUAUGUUAGCAUUGUUAGUAGUGUUUAGUUCUAGAAAUAGAGUUUAAUUGUAUCGUAUAAGCUUUGUCUUCUAUUAAAUGUUCUUUUGAAAGGAUUAUUCAAGUUCUACGAGAAAUAAGUUAAUGGUCAUGGUUGUUACUGUACCUGUAGUUUAGUCGAGCUAUAUUGCAGAUGUACUUGGUCUUUCAUAAAUGCUAUAAUUAUAUAUUAAUUUUAAGAACCUGAAGUGAACUAUUUGCUGAAAUAAGGAAGCUGGCGAAAGACUUCUUAAAAGGGUCUACGAAAACCUUGAACAAAUUCUAGUAAAUUUUCAUAGUGAAUCAAGUUGUUUCCCUCAAUUCUUUCUCCCUCGUCAGGCCAACUUUUGUUUCAAGAGACAGAGAAGUACAAACAGUUUUCAAAUUAUCUUCUACUUGACAGCAGCUCAGGAGCAAGAAUUCUUUGUUCUGGCCUUCCUCGAUUUCUUCAGUACUUGGAUCAGUCCAUCAGAUGGGUGCCUUCCUCGAUUUCUUCAGUACUUGGAUACGUGAGCAAUCCCUGCUUGUACAGGGACAGGGAGAGAACAGCUCAAAAUGGCGGCAUCACUGACUAAAGAGCAUAUGGAGAGAGCCUGUGGAAGAACAAAUUCAGUUCAACACUUGGCGGCAUUACUGGUGCAAGUAGGAAAGGUGAUUUACGAUCCGUUUGAGCUCCAAACCCUUGACAUGAAGUUUGGAAGGAAGUUAAUCGUAUACUGUAGUUGCUAAUGAAAAUUCAAAUGGUCUCUGGUCGACCUGACCCUUGCUAAUUGAGGCCAGUGUGGAUCAUACGCGAGUUCCAUACCAUUCAUCACAAGACCAAGUCCAGUCCUCCAUCAAUGGUCUUUUGAAAUAAUUUAAUGGUCAUGGUUGUCUCUAUUUUUUUCUACGGAGUAUUUUUUUUAUAUUCAGAGAUUUACUUGCUUGCUCCAACAGUCGAGCCCGGCCUUCUCCCAAAAAUCAAUGACCUUUUCGAAAAGUCCGGCAACCAGUUUGCUGCAACAGAAAAGGGCACACGAGUAUAACGAGUUGACACGAGAAAAUGAAGCUUUCCAGACAGCGUGGGGGCUCAACCACUGACAAAAGGUCCUCUGAAUGCCUCAUUGCAGUCCAAGUGCAGCGGCUGGUUCAGUAAACAUGUCCGAUUAGAGUACCGUCAGCUUUGUUCUGGCAUGACACCCAGCUAAACAACGCAGGGAAGCUUGACUUUGGAGGCAACAAAACAAGCCCAACUUGUUCAGUUCGGCUCGACAUCUCGCUUUCGUACGUGGAAGAUAACCCAGCUCAAAAACUUACUCCCUCCGUUCCACGAUGCAGAUCGUUUUGAUUUUUCUAAAUUUAUAAUUUUUACUAUGCACUUAGAUACAAUGUAUGUCUAGAUGCGUAAUAAUAUCGAAAAGAUGUCGACAUCAGAUUAGAGUCUUUUCUGAGAGGAAUCAGAUUACAGUCAAGCGCGGCAACCGGCUCGGUAAACCAAGUCCAGAUAAAUCACCUUUACCAUACCUACCCAGCAGCAACAAAUCAACUGGAAUGGGCAUAAAAAAAGUGAUGGCUUGAGCCUUGAGGGAUCAGCCGCCACUGAAAAGGUAUCGGGAUCAGAUUGCAGUCAUGCUCAGCAACUGGUAGAGCAAACAAAUUUCAAUUAGGUUACAUUACCUACCCAGCGGCCACAAAUCAAAUGGAAACAGCGUCACAAAGACAGAUCUUCUCAGCCAUCAGAGACACUAACAAGGGAGAAAGCUUGGCAUUUAUUUAUUCAGUUAUCCACUUCAACAUCAUUUUCUGAUACAAGGCAACAAACAAUCAAACAAAGGCGCUACCAGCUACUACAGUACAAGCUUCCGGGUAUUAUUGGUGCUUUUUAUAUCCGAACAAAGAGCGCUACAUUAUUGCCGAACCCUUCAAAACUGUUGACAUGCAAAGGCCUUCGUUUAGACUCUUAUGGCGUUUUAGACCUCGAGGUACUUGCUGGCGGUGUGCACGUCCUUGUCUCCUCGUCCGCUGCAGUUCACCACCACCCUCACACCGUCGGGCAGGGUCGGGCAGAGCUUCUCAAGGUAGGCGAGGGCGUGGGAGGUCUCCAGGGCGGGGAUGAUGCCCUCCAGACGAGAGACACGCUUGAAAGCUGCAUGCGAGUGUCAUCAUGGGGUCAGAUGCUGAACAUAGCAUUCAGGACAGAAACGUGUGGGUACACUACUGAAUCAGUUGUUAAGACAAUUUUCAAUAGUUCAGAAAAAAAAAACAAAGCACAUGUGCACCUCAGCACAGGAAAAACACAGAAAUGUUAUUUAAACAGUUAGCAUAUCUCAGGAACAUGACAUUGGAGUCCCUGCAACGUCAACUAAAUAUUUAGCAAUCAGUCAGUGAUUGAUCGCAUCUUGCUGAUUCUACAUGUUUAAAAUACUCCACAUGUGAUGUCUUCACUAACUAAAAUUUUCCAGCAUUUUGAAGCACUCCACAUGGGGUGCUCUACUGACUAGCAUCUUUAAAAUAGUUUCAGCCACAAAUGAACAAGCAGCAAUGAUACUGAUAUCACUACUGCUACUUAGCGUGUAGACCAGAAUCUUGCGCCAAUGGAGACCAGCAAAUGUGAUAUAUCAAGAAAAUUCAGAAUGUCCAUGUUGUUAAUUAGAACAGUUAGUCCUGAUAUCAGGAUGUUCAAAGUUCACACCAUAAACCUGUUGCUAUCAGUAUUUGGUAGGUGGAUUGGAAAUCAACUAGACCAAAUUGGAUUGCAAAGGAUGGUAAGAGAUAGCAAUAAACAUACCGUCCAGUGCCUCCUGAUCUGUUACACUGUCGUACUCGGCACGUCCAAUAUCCUUCAAGAAACUGUGCUCAGGUCCAACACCAGGGUAGUCCAGCCUAUGAUUCAAAAUAAAAAGGGUCACUUAGCCCACAUGAUAAGUAACAAAUACAGUCUUGUGAAUGUAAAAAUCAAACAAACUUACCCAGCACUGAUGGAGUGGGGUUCAAUAACUUGCCCAUCAUCAUCCUGCAGCAAAUAGCUCAUAGAUCCAUGGAGAACUCCAACUUCACCCUUUGUCAAAGUUGCAGCAUGCUUGUCAGUGUCAACACCAUGACCAGCGGCCUCCACUCCAAUCAGCCUCACAUCUUGAUCAUCAACAAACUCGUGGAAGAGGCCCAUAGCAUUUGAUCCACCACCAACGCAAGCAACCAACACAUCAGGCUUGCCACCCCAUUUGUCCAUGGCCUGCCUCCGGGUCUCCUGGCCAAUAACCUUAUGAAACUCCCUCACCAUCAUUGGGUAUGGGUGCGGACCAGCAACCGAGCCCAAGAUGUAGUGUGUGGUCUCCACGUUAGUAACCCAGUCACGGAUAGCCUCCGAAGUCGCAUCCUUCAGGGUUGCUGUCCCAGAAUGCACAGCCCUGACCUGUGAAAAAAAAGAAAGGAAGCAAAACAAUGAUGAGAAAAGUGUUCAUAUAUCUAACAAACACUCCAACAAGAAAAGCAACAACUGUGCUGCUCACAGCCAUGCUUUAAUGAAUAAGUACUGCCAAAAACAACCCAAAUUUAAUAAUCUAAGGAAAGACAGAUGUUUUCACCAUACCUCUGCACCAAGAAGCCUCAUCCUGAAAACAUUCAGGGCCUGCCUCUCCAUAUCCUGUGCACCCAUGUAGAUGAUGCACUGCAGCCCAAAACGGGCGCACACCGUGGCAGUGGCAACACCAUGCUGGCCAGCCCCUGUCUCAGCAAUGAUGCGCUGCUUCCCGAGCCGCUUGGCGAGCAAGGCCUGCGCCACGGCAUUGUUGAUCUUGUGCGCGCCGGUGUGGUUCAGAUCCUCCCUCUUGAGGUAGAUGAGCGGGCCCGUGCCGUCGGUGCGCUUGUAGUGCUCGGUCAGGCGCUCCGCGAAGUACAGGGGGCUCUCACGGCCGACGUAGUCCUUGAGGAUACCGUCAAGUUCUUUCUGCAAAGCAGGAGAGCAGGGUCAGACAUAGCUCUUGGGUGUCAUCCGUCUAUAAAUAUAGAAAGCAAUAGCUAAAUCCCUUCGUCAUGGUUCGUGGGGCACAGGAAUCUGAUGAUACAAGAGUGUCAAAUUCUACCAUGUUUUUUUAAAAAAAAAACUGAAGUGGUAGAUUUUACAUUUCUCUGGGUGAUUUUGAAUCAUGGCAUGAUUGGGUGCAUUUUUCCUGCCCUUCCUGCAAAUCCUCUUCAGGUAGAGGUAGGUACCUGUCCGGGACUGAAAACAGUGGAACGCUAGCUUCUACAGUAGUGUGGUGUGCGCCUACACGGGCUUUUUGGAUGGUGGAAAGGGGGCCGAUGGGACCGAAAAAUCAAACUCGCCCAGGGGACAAAAAUCUCUCCGGCCAAUUAAACGCGGCAUCACGUAACGACGGGAAAUCACGCAUCGGGAACCAUCAGCACCAGUGCUAACUUAAUCUCGCGGUCAAACAACCCCCCACCAGUGAACGAGAGUGCCCAAAUCGCUCAUCGAAUCGGUAAAAGUGGAUCUCGGAGCACCAACGGGUGCGAAACCCCCCGAAUCUGAAGCCCGGCACAGAGAAGGAGGGCGUUGUCGGCGUUACCUGGAACUCCUCGUCGGUGGCGAGCGCGUGGAAGGCGUUCUCGAGCUCGGUGAGCGCGUGCAUGAGCGUCUCGGGCACGUACUUGCCGCCGAACUUCCCGAACCUCCCCAUCGUGUCGGGCCUCGCCAUCCCCGCGACCGCCGCGCCGUUCUCCACCGCCGCCGACGGAGCCUCCGCGGCCACCGCCUUCGCCGGCCGCAUUGCCGCCGCGGCCACCGCGCCCCUCCGCGAUGCCGCCGACGACGCAGACGACGCGACCCUUAGCACCGCGAGCGGGGAGCGGGCGGUGGAGGAUCGGGACGGGGCGGCGGCGGCGGCGCGGCUAGGGCUCCCGAUUGCGGCGGCCAUGGGUGGUAGAAAUGGCAGGAGGCGGCUAAUAGGAGAGAUGCUGAGGCGGGGACGGGGUUGGGGGUGGUGGUCGGGGUGCAGCGGGUACCCGGCGCGGCGGGUAUAUAUCGCGGUAGCCUUUGGAAUUCCGGGGCGGGGGUAGGUGGGUCCACGGCGGCCCGGCUGGACCCGGCGCUCGCGCCACGGUCCACGCCCCGCGCGCCACCCCUGGCUGGCUCUCUGUGCGGUGCAGGUGGACCGGGUGCGGGGAGGCGGGGGCGGGGUUGACUGGGUCGGGCCGGGGCCCACCGGAUCGGGGACGCUCGCGGAGCACGUGCGAGGGCGAGGCGGAGCCGCUCGUUGCCUUCCCCCCGUGCUCCUCCUUUUGCGGCUGUCCGGGCAGGGGCAAUCGACCGUCCCACGUGGACCGGCCUCCGCCGCCCGCUCGGUGUCGACGGGAGGAUCGGGACGGCGAGGUCGACGCCGGCGGGGAUCGUCCGUUGAGAUAUCCGAGCGCGCGCGGUGGGUCGGUUGGUGAGAUAUCGAUGGCGACGGGGGAGGCGUUUUGCGUCACGGGUUUUAAUUCCCGUUUCGCUUCUCUCUCUGCUCCUAUUUGUUUCCGAGGUUCUAUAGCACGUUUGUUCCAGAGUUUACCUUUUGUCGUCUCCUUUUCUUUACGGUGUUUGGGCGAAUUUUGAUUCCAUCCCUUUAAAUUCUCUUGAAUUUGUACCAAACCGAAUGAGCCUCUGUCGCUUCGCCGUCGCAUCCAGCUUGGCAGCUUGCAAGUUGCAACCGGUUAAUAAGAUGGCUGGUGUGAAACUAAACUAGUCGAAGCAAGUCGUGCACUCACCUGGCCUGUCCCGAAAUACAAGGGGACUGCGAGUGGUUUUCGAGGAAAAGUACGUUGCUGUAUGUCAUACGUCAGUGGUUUCAUAGAUCGUCUCAUGCAAUGUCACGUAGGAUUUUUUUUUAUGAUGUGGAGGAGAGAGAGCGAGGAGAGUACGUAGGAUUUUUUUAUGAUGUGUAGGAGAGAGAAAGAGAUCGUUGUUUUACGAAACAACCGCUUCAUGAGCCAAAUUGUAGGACUACGAGAUAACUCAACAACCAUUGUAUGACUUAUUAUUAUCAUGUAACUUAUAAUAUUUUCUUUUUUAUAUGCAUAAAUUAAGAAAUUAUAUAGAUCUACCAGAUAAUUUAAUGUAUAAGAACGAGAUUUAUAAGAUAACCCAUGGUAAGGUUCGUUGGUCUUAAGAUGUUAAUGUAUGAGAACGAGUGUUUGUUCGUUAGAAAUAUCUUCGAAUCGGACAUUGUGCCUCUCCAAUGAACGUGAAAGCAACGGCCUGCUGCUGCUAUCUGGUUGACAUCGUCGCCGUGUACAGGAUCGGACGGCGGUCUCGGGCCGUUCGUGAAAGCAAAUAUAGGAAUAGACAAAUAUAAGUCCAUAAUAAGCACACAUCGUAGUGUGUGUAGGAGUACACAAUAUCUCCACGUCAUGAGAGGUGCAGGGUUAAUGGCGCGUGCGUGAAAGUGACGUGGCCGUGCCUAUCGCCUUCCACAUCGAAUCCACUGUGAAACCGAUCGACACGCAUGGCACGAUCGACGAGCAGUACUGCUGGUCCACUGUUUGUGCUUAUAUUACGGUGGCUGCGGUGAGCAUUACUUAUUAUUUCUAAUUAACUUGUAAGCCCCAGCUUUGACACGACGAUGAGCCGGCCAUUGCUCGGAAUGCGCCUGAUCCAAACCCACUCUUUAGUACUAGUUGUGCAACCGAUAUUACUAUUUCGGUACUAAAGAGAAUCUUUAGUAUCGGGUCAAAUAACCAGUACUAAAGGAGUAUUAAAAAAUAAAAAAAAGAAAUCCGUCGACCGGAGCUCCAGCCGCACAGCACCUAAGCCUCGCACCGAAGAGAGAGGGAGGGAGGCGGCGUACUUACGUUGCUCAACCUGCCGCCACCGUUCCUCAGCCCCUCGAUUGCCGCCACCGUCGGAUCUAAGGGAGAGGUGGCCUUUACUUCAAGAUCCACACGCUUCUUGCUUUGCCAUGCCUCCCGCUGGAGCUCCGCCGUUUCUUGCUCCGCCAUGCCUUACCGACGCUCCGCUGCCUCGCCGCAUCCUUCCUUCUUGCCUCCACUGCUCCUCACCACAUGUAAGAGGUGAGGGGCGAGCGAAGGGGGGAGAAGAGGGGUGGCGACGGGAAGGGCGGCGAUGAGAUCUGUGUGGGGAGAGGGAGGGGAUUCAGCUAAGGAGAGAGAGGGGAUUCGGUGAGGAGAAGAAGAGAGAAGGCGCGGGUGAGAGGAUGAGGGGACGAGCGGAGCGGAUAAGUGUGGGGAGGGGGGUGAACAUGGGUGAGAGAGAAGGAGGGUCGAUGCGUGAAAGGAAGUUGCGAUUUAGUACCGGAUGAAGCCUCCACCUGGUACUAAAAGACCCUCAGGCAUAUUAGUACCCAUUGGAGGCUUCAACCGGUACUGAUAGGUGACAUUUAGUAUUGGGUGAAGUUUCCACCCGGUACUAAAGAGGUCACGGGAGCUCCUCGGGAACUGGUUGUUAGGUUCGAUACUAAUACUUAUGUUAGUAGUGGGUUGAAACACGACUGGUACUUAAGUCUCGGGAUAAAUGGUUUUGCAGCAGGGAGCCCGGAGGUUGUUUCCCGGCAAAAGCCGGCCGGCCGCUAGCCCCGGACGGAGGAGGCUGCACGUCGUCGGCGGCGCGGCGCUCGCAGCAUCCACAGCUGCGGCGAGCCCACGCUGCCUGCUGCUUCCCGUUGCAUCGUCGUUGGUCAAAGAUGAGCAGAGAUCGAUGAGGCUCCGGUCCUCCGACGGCACCGUAACUAGCUAACGUUGUUGGCCUCUGGGAUCUCCUAAUGUUGUUUGGCUUUGGUGAUCCUACACGGUCAACGACACACCUACUCCAUCGCGCGAUCAUCAGGCACCUUGCAUGUGGAAGCACAGCACGCUUACCUACCUACCCUACUGCAUGUACGAACCUCGAGUGAAUCUAAAUUACGUGCAGCGCACGAGGUUACAGUGCGCAACGUACCCGAGGAGAGGAGAUGACGUUGUUUUAUACAAGUGCGCACACGGGAGUGUUUGGUGCGGGGUACUAAACUUUAGGAGAGGUCACAUCGGAUGUUCGGACGCUAAUUAGGAGGAUUAAACAUGAACUAAUUAUAAAACUAACUGCAGAACCCCUAUACUAAUUCGCGAGACGAAUCUAUUAAGUCUAAUUAAUCCAUCAUUAGCAAAUGGUUACUGUAGCACCACAUUGUCAAAUCAUGAACUAAUUAGGCUUAAUAGAUUCGUCUUGCGAAUUAGACUCCAUCUGUAUAGUUAGUUUUGUAAUUAGACUAUAUUUAAUACUCCUAAUUAGUAUCUAACAUCCGAUACGACAGGUACAAAGUUAUGAACCUGUAUCAAAUAGGCCUACUUAUCCUCAGGAAGGGCCAUCGAUGAUCCAUCCAUCCAUCCGCACAUGAGGGAGCACCGCGCGCUUCACGUGAUCCGUCUCCGUGGUCCGAUCCGAUCCGCGCUGGCACCACGCAUGGGGACAAGCAGCCAACGACAGGCACGCAGGCGGCGGGUCCUACAUACUUGUAUAUAUAUAUAUAAAUAAAUAAUACACAUGUGCAACUGAUUAAUGGGCUAAGAGGUCAAACUGAUCCACGCUACGUGGCAUCAGAUCACACCGCGUGGAGCCCACCGUCAGAGUUAUUUGUUUUAGAUGAGAUUGUCCGUCGUGAGUUUAAUCCUGUAAAAUCUAGUGGGAUGACCUCAUUUUUCAUGAUUAUAUCAUUUAUUAGUUUGUGGUCGUUUUGGUCCCAUUUUCGGAAGACGACGCAAGCAAGAUGCAUGUUCUCUGACAUCUGUGACAUGCUCGUCCAAAACAAAAUUUGGAGCUGCUGCUAGCUAUGUUCAGUUCGGACGAGAAAAACACGCAUGGAGCAAAUCUGGAAAAAAAAAAACAUGUGCGCCUGGAGCGUGCGGCGGCGGCAAGGCAACAACAGCAGGAGCAAAAAAAAAAGCACCUUUUAGCGGCCUGGUUGCCGCCGUUAUAAACACAGCAGAAUGGCAUAUGAACACACGACCAAAUCUUGCACAAACAACAGCAUCAAAGCAGUAGUGAUUCUCGUCGUCUUUCUCCGUCCAGGAGAACAUCAUCCACACCCCACAUCCCCUCACAAUGCAGCAUGUCAAACACAGGAGGAAAGAAGGGGCAUCAUCUCUUCUAUUUCUUUUCAUAUCCAGCACAUACCAGCAGAGUUCUCAAAUUCCCAACCAACAACAACAGAAGAGAACCCGGCACAUAAGAAUCUCCAAAAUUUACUACAUCUUUGACAGUUUAGUCAUGCACAUACAGUUAGUCAACACAACACACAUUGUGCUGCAGGGUUUACUCUUUCCCAAAGGUAAUUCUGAAAGUUUACGAUGCAGGAAUUAGUGUACUCUAGGUGCAUCCAUUGUUAAUCUGGCUAAAUCAAAUCAACAAAGAUUAAGACUGCUCACAUGAAAUUGCAGCGUCUCCAGCUGGGGUGCAAAGGCCAGAUAGUGAGUCAGCUGAAGAAGGUCGUGUCUAAUUGGACCAUUAGUGGAGAUUGUUAUUUCACAUGUCAGGUGCCUCAAAUUUGUAAAAAUGGAUGUCCGACUUCUUUCCACCAUAUGCCCCUGAACAUGACCAAAGCAGAUAAGAAAACAUUAUUAGCUCCUGCAUUUUGACAGGUGAACUGUGAGGUUAGUAAACUAGUAAAGAAAUUAAAAUUUAAUCCACAUACCUGUGACAACCAUACUGGAUGAUAUGCAUCCAUAUCAGCACGCAUAUGUAGCACCUUGACUGCCGAAAUACUGGGAAUCACAGUAAAUGCAUGGCCCAGUUCUUUAUUAUCCUUUUUAAAUGUUACCGAUGCCUUCUCCAACUUAGAGCAAUCAUGAAGGCGUAUAGGAAUCACAUCCCCUUUGUAUUCAAAAUGAACAAGACCGGAAACAUGAAACUCAACCAUCUGGACACGCAUAUGGUAGAUAAGCAAAUGUCUCAGUUUAUCCAGCUGGUGUGGUAUAUUCAGAUCAGUCGCGCCCGAGCAUGCAGUGAUCUCCAAGUCCUCAAGGCUACAACAAUUUAACAGCAAGCCUGGAAGAUCUCCAACUAUAUGAACAGAGUGCAGAAGAAGGCUUCUGAGUUUUGCAAAGCCACAUAUAUCCGAGUGUGGCUUUAUAGAAACAUCGGCAAGAAGCAAGGCCUGGAUAAAAGGGCCAUCUUGAGCACCUAAAGCCUCAAGAGGGAAGUGAUACAAGUUUUUUUAUUGGUUCUCCAAUAUACUUUUUGGACCACAGGUUAAUAUCUAUAAUCUUCGCCUUUGCUGCAGUGGCAAAGUGAAUCCACCUAUCAAGAUGAUAUGAGGAUUUAUUUUCAAGGCUGCACCUGAUGCUGAACUUAUUGAGCCCUAUUCCGCUGUGCUGUUGUAUAAUGGAACUGACUGUCUCAAUGAACUUUGCUCUUUCUAUUUUAACACAAUCCUCGUCAUUGGACCGGUUUUUGGUGCCAUCAAAACAGAGGUUAGGGUGGUGUGUCCAUAGCAUUCGCCAGUUUUUCGACAUAAUGCUUGACCUUGCAGCCUCUUUCAGUGAAAGCAGAGACAGUACAAGAGGUUGAAUUUCCUGUGACACCAUCGGAUGAUAAGAAGGGUUAGGUUUGAUCAAAACUACCGAAUAGGCAUGGCAAUCAAAAGUAAUUAGGAGUCAGGAUACACAACGACUAAAACCAGAACAUUGAACCCUUCUUUUCUGCAAGGAAAAGCUGAGCACAUUCAGAUCAGACACUAAACAGAUAAGAAAGUGCAAAGGAACCGAACCACAAAUGGAGACAUUCAACUCAACCAAACUCAGCUAGAAUUUACCAAUUCAACCCACAGGCAAUCCUAAAGUUUACCAAAAUCCCAGGAACAUGAUAGAUGUAGUUAAGAAAAAACUGCAAAAGAUUGUGCUAUACAGAAACUAGACCAUUUGAAUGCAUUGGAACCAAACAAGGUUGAAAAUUGGAUAUUAGAUGGACCGGAGAACUGUAUGUGCAUGUAGUGCGGGUGAAGCGUCCCCACAUAAGUAGAGACUAAAUGUGUUACAAAUAUCAGUCCCAGGAGGCUGAUAGCACAUUUAUUCGACAGAUAAUUCAGUUACCGUAUAACUCCCGAGGGAGCGGGCGUGAAAGCCACGCAGCGAUAAACAGUAAAUAAAUAACGGCGGCUAACCAAGCGACUGCCAAAAGACAGUACUCGGGACUACACGGCAGCAGCAGCAUCUUGGGUAGGCCAACACCACAGGCAGCGUUGGGUGCGGACACAACCUCUACUCAAGGUCCUCGGCGACGAAGUCCGGGUCUUCCUCUGUGGCAACGAAGCAAGGGUGAGUACAGACGUACUCAACAAGUCCAACCCCAUCCACGGAGGGGGAUACAAGCAAGUUUAUGCACAAGUAUAUCAAGGAUAGGCUAGAGUUUGUUUGCGGUAAAGCUGAAUUUUAACACAUGCAGGGGAUUGUUUUCAAAAGGGUUUUUUAUAAAGGUUUCCGUUACUACCCAAAACAUUGAGUGGGGUUGAUCCUACACAAAGGAUCCAAGUUUUUAUCGCUAUCGGACUCCCCGUCCGCCAUAGCGCACGGCACAACUGCCGGACUCUUCCGAAAUCCAACACCCAUGCACACACACAUGACAUUCUUGCCCAAUUGCUAGUUAUGUGACCAAGCCGUAACUCGUCCAAUACCGUGGACACGGCUACCCGGAUAGGUUUUAACUCUGCAGAGGGUGUACACUUUUCCCACAAGUAGGGUACCGCAGCAAGAUCACCUUAGUGUCGAUGCGGAUCCUAACAAAGCCAUUACCCACCUUAGCUAAGACUGGCUAGCCCUCGCGGAAACACCCAAGGGGUUCACGGCUCGUCCAUGAGACCGUAACUGGGACCUAAGUCACCAAGAUCUUACUCCUUUUCCAUGGGUUCCCGUUGCUCACCAGCACCCCUGAGGACUAACAGUUCAGCUAGUGGGAUUUAUGCUAAGCCGUUGCCCAUACAACGGUCGAGUGGUUGCACGAUGGUGGAAUUAGGCAAGAUGACACAUCAACUCGGUCCUUAAAUAUGACAAGAUGGAUAUCUCCCGACAUUGCUCAACCACCAAGGUACGAGCACAACAACAGAGCAUCCCACACAAGGAACACCCAUCCAUCCCGUCUACACAUCCUCUUUUCCCGAACCCAUAAGCCAUUUCUCUUACUUGGACGCACACACACAUUUAUUUUUCCGAAUCCACCAUUGUAAUAUUGAUUUCAGUUGAGUAACAAAUUCCUAAGCGUUCUAGCAGUGGUUAUCAUCUAAACAGAGCAAGUCAUAUUUAGAGAUAAGCGUAGGAUAACAAGGAAUGUUUAUAACAAUCAAGGGGUGGCUAUCCAACCAUGUCUUGCGAUGAAAUAAUAUGCACUUUGUAAAACAGGCCAAUAGGUUGUGUUUGAAAAAUUGGGUAAUAAAUAUGCAUCAAAGGGUGAGAUUGGACUUGCCGUCUUCAAAGCCUUCCGGUAGCUCCGGCUCGCGGUACUGGUCCUCGGGCUCGGGCUCGCGGUCAAACUCCUCUUCGGGCUCCUCCUCGGGCAAUCCGCGAUCUACGGCACGCACAAACAGACACACAAAUAAAUAAAAGAGGAAACGGUUUUUUAACCGUGAGCUCCGAACAGGAAACGUGAACGGAAAAUAGGUAGAAGGAUUAUUUUUGAGAAAUUUGGAUAUAGAUCGGCGAAAGUAUUCUGGAGGAUGACGUGGUAAAAUUUGGGAUUAAUUGGAGGAAGUUUGGCGCAUGAAAUGACGGGUUAAACAUGAAUUAGGGGCUUAAACGGAGGCUUAGGGCUGAUUUAUAAUAAACCAGGGACCUAUGUGUAAAUACUUUCGGGGAUGGAGGGGCUUAUUUGCGAAACUGCUAUAAGAGUGGUGGAAGGACUAUUUCGCGAAUAGUGGAUUUCAGGGGGUUAGAUCGGAAUUUGGGUUUCUUCUUCCUUUGGUGCGCACAGUACACAGGGGGAGAGAGGGAGGGGCACGGCCGGGCCUAGGGGUGGCGGCUUAGGGUCGCCGGCGGCGAGGGGAGGCGGCGGGAGAAGGUGGAGGGGUUCGGGGAGGCCCCAUUUUGCUACUCACCUUGGGGAUUUGGGUAGGGAAGGGGGUGCGGCCGGUGGUGGGUCUCGGCGGCGGCGGCGGCGGCUCGGGUGGCGGAGGCAGGGGAAACGGGGAGUGGUGGUGUUGGUGGAUGGAGAGUGGGGAGGGCCGGGUGGCUUUUAUAGGCGGCGGGGAGGGCGCCGGCGGUGGCGUGCGGGGCCGGGACGCGGCGUGGUGCCAGGCGCCGGGGCGGAGUGGCGGCGGCGUACGGCGGGGUAGGGGCCGGGCAGGCCGGCCGGGGAGUCGGCGCCGGGCGGCAGCACGUGCCCCGGGCGCGGGCCCAAGGCGGCCGGGCGGCGUGGCGCCAGGCGCGCCGGCGGGGCCAGGAGGGCCGAGGUGACCGGCGGGACCGAGCCGAGCGAGGGGGCCGGUGACGGGCGGAGGUGACCGGCGGGACCCCAGGCGGGCGGCGCGGGUUCGAGCGACGGGGCAGUAUGGCGCCAGGGAUGGGGGGCGCCGGAGUAAAUGGCGUUGGCCGGCCAGGAGGUGUGGCGCCAGGGGGAGGUGACGCCGGGUGCCAAGAAGAAGAAAGAGGAGGAGAGAGAGGAAGGAAGGAGGAAGAAAGAAGAAGAAAGAGGAAGAAAGAAGAAGGAAAAAGAAAAGGAAAAAGGGGGAGGGAAAAGAGAAAGAAAGAAGAAAAAGAAAGGGACCGGCGGCGAUUGCGGCACGCGGUCGGAGCACGCGCGUAGCGUCUGACAACGGCACGCGGCGAGAUUUACGGGCACGGAUAGAAAGGUAGGGGUCGGCAUGGGUACCGGGACGGCGAAAUCGCCGGGGAGAUUUCCGAUUUCCGGGAGCUCGGCGGUAAAAAGAUUUUAAAGACAGUUUUUAAUGGGUGGUUUUAGUUGGUGAUUUCUACGGGUGUUACAGCGGGGAAGGUUGAGCGGUCUGCUCAACUCACCAGAGAUGGAGAAGGCAGCGCAGCCAUGGCUGAUGGGAGCGAGGAAGAUGAUGAAGGGGAAAUAAUUUGGUCCAGAGUACUCCAUUCGGAAGAAUUGGUUUGACCACGAUGUCAAAAUAUGGAAGACACAAGGACUGGUAUCAAAGUCGGAGAGGCACUCCGAUUCGGUGCCAAAAAAUGAAAAUUCCCAACGCUAUAUGUGGCCCACCGGUUCUACGACGAGUUGUGGUCGUCACAAAUGCAAGAGGUUGAUGGCGCACCAUUUUGUGAUGAUAUGAGAUGUUGUUCUAUAAUGCUUGUUUUACUUUCGUCAUAGAUCCGUAGUGGCUGAGGGCUGGUGCCGAUGAACUAUGAUGAACCUAGGAUUUUUGUCAUAGAUAUGGUUUGUUCAAUGAUGAAGUUUUAGAACAUCACGCGCAAAACGUCAUGGAAGCUAUUAUUUCUAGUAAUGCUCGGAACAUCCGACGCUUCAUUCGAUGGCACCAUCAGAUCAUCCGGUCUUGAACAGGUUUUUAUCAAAACCUUCUGAAGUAUUUCAAUGUAAAUAUGCUUCGUCCGAUGGUCACUUCAAUAUAGCAUCGGAUCAUCAGGUGCUGUAGGAUUUUCUCUAUCUUCACUGUGCAUUUGCGACGCUUGUAAAAUUCACCCCGUCGGAUCAUUCGGUACCUUUGUAGUUUUUCCUGUUGUACCAAUUGCUUCAAUGGUUGCUCCCAUGCACCGAUGGAUAAUCCAGUGCUACUUAUUUUUCUAAAUUGAAUACCGUUAUUUGAGCACCAUGAAUACUGUCACUUGCAUGCUCUAGAAUUAUUCUAUCUUGAUUUUCACUAUCAUUUGCACACUUGAAUAUCAUAGAAUAAUCUUAGAUACUAUGGCUUGGACACUCAAAUACCAUGAUUUGGAUCUUGCCAUGGUGUGGUUCGCAUUCUUGGGACCUAUGAAACUACAUUCUUGACAAACCAAUAGUCCCAAUGAUCAUGUGGUCACUCACUCACCAAAAUCAGAAACUAUGGCCUAAUAGGUCAUUGUUCCUCACACUAACCUUUAGAACACUUGGAUAAGUGAAAUUCCACGAAAUGGUGAAAAAUCAGGCACCACCUCCCCUAGGUCGCCAUGGAAAGAAUGAAACUCGAGCUCUUAGCUAGUCUUGUUGGUGGCUCGGGCAGGAGGAAGAAGAAGCCAGCUUUACUGGAGGAAAAUUAGUACUGGGUGGAGAGGUUUCACCUGGUAUUAAUAGGUUGCAUUUAGUACCGUGUGAAGCCUCAUAUCGGUACUAAUAGUCCUCCUGGGGACUAACCGUUAGGUUUAGUACUAAUGUUGCUCAUAUUAGUAUCGGGUCAAAAAGCAGCCGGUACAUACAAGUCGGGUGUUGGGUCCAAGGAAGUCGGGUGUUGGGUCCAAGGAAGGAUGUGUACUUCGGAGGCUUGUUGUUAGGCAUUUACUAGUUUUGGUAUUGCUUACUUGCUAAAAUAGUUGCUAGGAAUACACUUCAAUUCUACGUAGUGAAUUGUAUCACUCUUCGACUAUACGAUGAGUAAAUGUAUGUAUUGCUCUUCUUAGAAUUGGGGUAUUUGUAUCCUUUUUAUCCUGAUUUAAUAAUCGGGGAUGCUUCAAAUUGGGACUCGAAAAAAAUGGUUAAAUGCAUGUUCAGUAGAACCUGAUCCUGUCAAUGAGGCUUGUUAGAUGGCCUUGGAGUUUAUAAAAUCUUAGUUUUCACUUGAAAAAACCCCAUUAUAUAAAUGCGAAUCAUCCUUUCUCCUGACAAGCUUUGAAUAAUAAUAUAUUUAAUUACAUCAUACAUCAAAACAAUCAAUGCAACUUGAUACAAUGAGUUCAUGACCAACUUUAAGUGCUGAUUGACUGACCGAAUCACACUACAAAAGCAGAGUCGUAAUAAAAUAUAAAGUCAACACUAGAGAUCUAGGGAAAUGCAGGCACAUAUAUAGCUAAUCAAGUGGGACAUUUUUUUUCUCUUGUGAGAAUAUUAGUUUCAAGAAGUGAGUUAAUUUUUCUUGUUUUCAAAUAAGUUUUUUGAAUAAUUGAGUGAUUGUCUAACCAUCUAAAUUGUAUUGAGCCUUAUACAUUUGGGUGAUGUAGUUUACGAGAUACUCCCUUCGGUGUUAACUUUACGACGUUGAACUAAUUAGCUUCUCAUAAACAUUACAGAUUAACAACAAAGAGUAUAUUAAACUUGCAGGUGAUUUUUAGUCAGCAAAUGUGCAUUUUCUUAAUUUUUCUUGUGUUUUGAUGGCAUUGGUGGGUGUUAGCAGCCCUAUAACUCUGAACUGGUCAGCCCACUUGAACCAUUUUUUUAGUAUCAGCAGCAGUUGUUUAAGUACCAUUUGCCGGCCACUCUGCUAAAGUAAUUAACCUUGCCGGCCACUCCCAUCGUAUUUAUCACUUGCAGCUCUUGCCUGUUUCGGGCCAAAAAAGUCCUUAUCCAGAGAGCCGUUUGCAUCGAGGUGGCAGGAUUGCAGGAAUGGCCUCGCCCACCAUCCGAGCCGGCCGCCGCGUGGUGUUCUUCCCGUUCCCUUACCAGGGACACUUCAACCCGAUGCUCCGCCUCGCCGGCGCUCUGCACGCGCGCGGCGUCGCGGUCACCGUGUUCCACACCGAUUUUCGCGCGCCAGACCCGACCUACUACCCCUCGGACUACCGCUUCGUGCCGGUGCCGGUCCAUGUGCCCACAGAGCUCGUGGGGUCGGAGGACAUCGCGAGGCUCGUGAUGGAGCUGAACGUCAGCUGCGCAGCGCCGUUCAAGGAGCGGCUGGCGGCGCUGCUUGCGGGGGAGGAGGAGGAGGAGGAGGAGGAGGAGGCAGGAGGCGUCCAGUGCGUGAUUACAGACGUCAUUUGGUACUCGGCGCAGGCGGCGGCGAGGGAGCUCGGCGUGCCGGCUCUGGGGCUCAUGACCAGCAGUGCUGCGAGCUUCCGGAACUUCAUGGUCUACCCGACACUGAUUGAGAAGUGCUACUUGCCUGUCCAAGGUAACUACAGCAAAUCGAAAUGUUUGCUGUUUAGUACUAACGCUUAUUCUAACAACCAGACACCAAAAAUUCUCUGUUUCCUCUUUGCACGGCAGAGGAGCACAAGGAUGAUCCAGUCGACGUGCUGCCACCGUUCCGUGUGAGGGACCUUCAACGCAUCGAGACGAGCAGCCUUGCCGACUUCGCCAGCCUGCUCGGGCACACAGUUGAUGGAGGGCGGCAGUCCGCCGGCCUCAUAAUCAACACCGUCGAGGCCAUCGAGGGGGUUGACCUCGACAAGAUCCGCGAGGACAUGUCCAUCCCCGUGUUCCCCAUCGGCCCUCUCAACAUGGUCUCGCCGCCGGUGGAAAGCAGCUUGUACGAGUUGCAGCAAGACCGCCGGUGCCUCGACUGGCUGGACACGAAGGCGCCUGGCUCCGUUAUCUACGUGAGCUUCGGGAGCCUUGCUGCCAUGGACCCGCACGAAUUUGCGGAGCUGGCUUGGGGCCUGGCUGACAGUAAGCGCCCGUUCAUUUGGGUGGUCAGGCCGAGCCUCAUCCGCGGGUUCGAGUCCGGUGAUCUGCCCGAAGGGUUUCGGGAAGAGAUUGGCGAUCGAGGCAGGAUCGUCGACUGGGCUCCGCAGGAUGAGGUGCUUGCUCACCCUGCAGUUUGCGCUUUCUUGACUCACAAUGGUUGGAACUCGACGAUGGAGGCUAUAUCACAAGGCGUGCCGAUGAUAUCACGACCUUUCUUUGGUGACCAGUAUGGAAAUGCUAUGUUCGUGUGCGACGUUUGGAGGGUUGGAGUGGAGGUUCAAGUGGAAAACCAGCUCGAGAGAGUGAAGGUCAGAGAUGCUAUUGAGAAACUGAUGGGGAGCAAAGAAGGGAAGGAGAUUAGAGAGAGGAUGACGAACCUGAAAGAGAUAGCGGAGAAAGGCAUUAAGGAGAGUGGAUCAUCUCACACAGCUUUCCUUAACUUGGCUGAUCUCAUAUUUUCACUAUGAAACACUUGGAAGGUACAAAGCGUAUUUGUUAUUGCUAUGGAACGCAUGGAUUGGACGUGUACUUUCCUUUUGUAGUUUUAUUCAAUUUCCACCUUGAACUAGGAACCUAAUUUAACGUUUCGACAGAUUCGGGGACCUGAGCUGUAGUAAUUCAAAAGGUUGUGUUGAUUCCCUCAGCAUGUGGUCACUCAGAAGCCAAAAGUGUAUACCCUGAACACAUUACUAGGCCAACGGCAUGACUGAACAAGAUAAACUAUCACUUGAAAUCAAAUAAAAUGUAAAUCUUAAAAUGUUCAAUAAUAUUACUCUGACAGGAAUGAUGCUCACGAACAAGGAGCAAAAACAAUUAAGUUCCUAUCAUCACCAUACAUAUAUCAUAAAGUAUGCAAAAGUACACACUACGGUGAGACAAUGAAAUCCACUAGACGUUGCAAGGAUGCAUCGGUAGAUCCACCUUUGGAAGUGCAUUUCACUGCUGCAUCCCUCAAAUCUCUAAUCCUUUCUCUGAUCCUGUCUCCUUCCUCUCGGCCCAUCAGUCUCUCUACAGCCAACUGGACGUCCCCUCUCGUCAGCUGGUUCUCCACCUCCACCAAUCUGACCCCAACCUUCCACACUUGGCACACGUACCUGGCGUUGCACAGCUGGUCUCCCCCCAGUGGCCUGCAUAUCAUCGGCACGCCUCCCAAUAUGCUCUCCAGCGUCGAGUUCCACCCGCAGUGCGUCAGGAAGGCCCCCACCGCGGGGUGCUUCAGCACCUCCUGCUGCGGAGCCCAGCUCACGAUCCGCCCUCUGCCCCGUACCUCCUCCCGCAGCUCAGCAGGAAGCUCGCUGGACUCGCAUCCACGCACCAGCCUCGGGCGGACCACCCACAGGAAGGAGCGCUUGCUGCCAGCCAGUCCCCAGGCCAUCUCCGUGAGCUCGUGCGCAUCGAUGGACACCAAGCUCCCGAAGCUGACGUAUAUCACGGAGCUUGGUGGCUGCGCAUCCAGCCAUUCGAUGCAGCUUCGGUCCUGGAGCAGCAAGCUGCUGUCCACGGACGGUGAGAGGAUGUGGAGGGGGCCGACGGCGAACACCGGGACAACGAUGUCCUGGCAGAUGUUGGAAAUGUCCGUGCCCUCGAUGGCAUCCAACGUGUUGAGUAUGAGGCCUGAUGACUGUCGUGCUUCAGCAACCAUGUGAGUGAGCAGGUCUGCGUAGGCGCGGUGCCGAGUGGCGUCCCUCUCAUGAUGCAAGUCCCUUACGAGCAAAGGAGGGAGCUCCUUGACGUCCGUGUCCAAAUUCGACUCUGCGAAAAUGAUUUCAAUGUCACUGUAUUUUCUAUCAUGGAACCAAUUAUUGGGUAAUUAAAGUACAUGGAGAAAGUAGAUUGAGCAUUUCUAAUAAUCAUAGAAAGGUACCAGGAUAACAAUGUGAAUUUGGUACUUCAAUACCCUUAUAUAUGAAUUCCAAUUGACUCCACAAUAUGUCUUGCAUUCAAUUCGUGAGCUUGAAAAUGUUUGGAGCACGGUAUCUUUUAAGUAAUCUAGGUAUGGGAAAGUUGCCUUUGGUAAAUAAAAAUCAUAUCUUUGACGAUCUGACCCCCAUCUUGAUAUCAAUAUCUUUAAAUUUGUAUUCAAGAUAGCACAAUUGGAUGCGGAAAUUGAAUGUUAUAAGGACGAAGAACCCCGGAUGCUAAUUGUUCAUCCACAUGGUCAACUGGUCACUGAGCAAGGCAGCAAACUCCAUACCUCGGAUGGGCAAAUAGCCUUUCUCCUCCAGAAGCGGGAACGCCAAGUACAUCCUGAACUUGGCCGCGCUGCUGGUCAUCAGAGGGAGCGCCUUAACGCCGAGCUCCCUCGCAACGCCAAGCGGCGCGAACCAGUCCACGUCGGCGACCACGCAGACGACGUCGCGCGCGCCGGCGAGGUACUCCCUGAACGGCGCAGCGCAGCUCCUGUUCAGCGUGAGGACGAACGGCGCAACGUCGCUCGACUCGGCGAGCUCCGGCGGGACGCCGUCCCUGAUGGACACGAAGUCGUAGUCCACGGGCAGCUUCCGGCGGUCCGGCGCGCGGGUCUCGGUGUGCACGACGGUGAUGGCGAGGCCACGGGCGUGGAACGCCGCUGCGAGCCGGAGCAUGGGUUCGAUGUGGCCCUGGUAGGGGAGGGGGAAUAGGACCACGCGAGGGCAGCCACCGGGAGCGUCGCUUGGAGUCAUGGCCAGGUAGAGAGAGAGAGAGGGAGGGAGAGGGAGAGGGAGAGGGAGAACUCGACUCGAUGUGUACAAGCGUGAGAAAGACGAAAAGUUGGGACAGGAUCACGUGGAAAGGUGAAAAAAGUAGCAUUUUUCGUUUUGCGGCAUCUGACGUGGGUUGGCGGGGCUGUUUGGCUCGUAAGUGUUAAAAACACCUAUCACAUCGAAUGUUUGAUACUAAUUAGAAAUAUUAAACAUAGGUCAAUUACAAAACUAAUUGCACAGAUGGAGUCUAAUUCGCGAGAUGAAUCUAUUAAGCCUAAUUAUUCCAUGAUUUGACAAUGUGGUGCUACAAUAACUAUUUGCUAAUUAUGGAUUAAUUAGUUUUAAUAGAUUCGUCUCGUGAAUUAGGGGUUCUGCAAUUAGUUUUUUAAUUUAAAUAUAUUUAGUCCUCUAAAUUAGCAUCCGAACAUCCGAUGUGACACAACUAAAGUUUAGCACCUGAUGUCCAAACACUCCCUUGUCCUAAUUUGGGGGGAAGUUCCAGCCACUAGAGCGCCAUAUGGUCGUCGAGCAUGUGCAUGAUGAUGAUUCAAGGCUGUUUUAGUCCAAAGAACAUACAAGCAUGAAGACCUUAAUUUUUUUCUACUCUCAUAUACGCCGAUGCAAGCCGAUAUUGUAGUUCACUGAAAUGUCUGGACAUCACGGAGUUUUGUUUCCUUGCUCUUUUGCCACUACUCAUGAAUAAACCCACAUGGGGUACGUUAUUUGCUCCAUUUCAUGUGCAUGUGAGCUCUUUUGCUUUCCACAUGCUCUUUGGUGCCAGCAAUUUUCACUUUGUAUAUACUAUUUUACUUUUAUUUUCUCAGAGCUCACCUAUUUGACUUGGUUAUAUAAAAUAUGUAAGAAUUUCGAGUUGACCUUUGUUACAAGCCCAUCCGCUCGCGUCGUCCUAGGGGCGGCCAGGCUGCCACACCCUUGCAGCCCCUCCCACCUCCCAUCCCUCCACCUCGCCACCGCCGGAAGCCCGCGCGGGCACAAGGACGGCAGCGGUGAGGCCUCCUUCCACGCGUUUAUCCUCUCCCCCGAGUUAUCCUUCCCCAAGAAAACCUAGAUCCGGUUGCCACUGGUAGCGGCGGUGAGGGUGGGCUCGUCCGAGCUGACCUCUCCUGGUUUGGAUAUUUGAACUCCGGGUGGAUGGCAUCUUCUUCGCCUCCGGUGGCCACCACCGUGGGUGGGGGGAGGGGGGUGCUCGCCUCCAAUUGCCGCCACCCCUUCUAGUUGUCUUCCAGGUGGGGGGCAAUGGGCGGCCUUUUGGUUGCCGCCACCGUGUCAGGUAGUCUCCCUAAUGGGCGUCCUUGGUUGCUUGGCAGAGGCAGGAUCUGGUGGAGCGUCCAGAGGUCGUCGGUUGCCGUGCAGUGCGUUUCUUGGGUGUGCAGGUUCUCGGGCGAAAGCCUAGCUCGAUCCUGGAUUGUUUGCUAGUGACGAUGGUGCCAUGGGUAUCAUUUUCCUUCUUGAAGGCGUUGCCGUAAGGACCUCAACCUCUAGGGACAGAUCCAGGUGAAAACUAAAGAACCGACAUGUUGGUUCGGGCGGUGGCAUGAUCUUGAUGUUGCUUUACUCUUGAGGUGUCGUCUUGGAGUCCUUGAUGGUGAUACCAUGUUCAGCUUAGAGCGAUGGCGGUUCCAAUUUGUAUUUGUGGUAGAGAUCGACUCAGUGCGGUUUCUAGAUGACAAGGAUUACUAGACAGCACAUGACCAUCAACGAUCCUAACAUCUAAAGUUUCUAAGAAGAUAACUGAUGUGAGGCGUUUGUUACUGCAUAAGGACCAAAGCAAAGUUGAAGGAAGGAUGUAUAAGAAGUUCGAAGCUUAGUCUUUCAACCUUUCUUUCUUAAUGUAUUUCUUUCUUGUCUUUUGUGUUCCUCGGUUUGAGACUCGGAGUCUAAGUACUCGUUUAGUUUCUGGCUAUGUGGCUAGAAUUGUUUCUUUGUGGUCGUAGACAUUCAUAUUCACAUGUGAAUGUUGAAGACCGGAUAUUUUCCUUAAUGUAAAAACAUAUAAAAUAUGUAAGGCAAACCAUUGCCCAAGUUGGAUUUGAGUUGGCAAUGCAUAAACUUUGAUUGUGAAGAAUACGAUGAUUUCACAGCUGAUGAAUUGCUACAUGAUAAACUUGGUGGGGCAUGUUCUAUGUGUUGGGAAAUUUGGAUCAGCUGAAAUGAUGAGGUUUUUAACAAGACACGAGUUUUUUCAUCUAUGCGGGUAGUUUUCAGAGGAACACAUUGGUGCUAUUUUUGUGCGCUGCUGCAAAAGGAAGGAGAAAGAUCCCGUAUAAACUGGGGGUGUCCUGUGCUUAGACGGUGGUCAUGGAAAUUUUUUCCUCAAACACGGUGGUUAUGGAAAUUUUUUCCUCAAACGGCUGGUGUUCUAGUAAUAGACUACCUUUUUAUUUGACAUAAGCACGAUGGAUGUUAUGAUUGUCUUCUUAAGUUCUUUCACUUUCAUUGGAUCAUGAUCUUGUUUGUAAUAAUGGAUAGCUAUAUGUAUCAAUCGUCACAAAGGCUGGAAUAUUAAUGCAUAUUCCCUUUUCUAAAAAAAUUGGUGUCAUGGACCUCUAGUAUAUAUUCAUGCAAAUCACGCAUCAAUUUGUGGCUAAAUCAAGUCAACUCAGGGUAAACUUCAGGGAGGAUAGAGGUAGGAACUGGGAGAUUACAGAGAAUUCUGGAAAGCUUUGAGAAGCAUAACAAGAUCGUACGUAUUAGCACAAAAUGAUUUAACUGAAAUAAAACAAUCUUUCAUGUGUGCAUCGCACAGCUUGUCUGUUCAUGUGCAAGUCUUGCGCCAUGUUGGCUCCUUGCAUCUUGGAGAUUUCUCUCCUCUCUUCCUUCUUCCCUUUCUAGUUCUCUUGAUGAUAGGAGAACUAUACUACUUUCAUUCUCGUGUGUUAUUCUCUGUGUGUCCUAUAUCUCACAUUCACAGGGGUCAAACUUUUCUAUUUAUACACCACAGUGCAGUGCUGCCAACCAUCAUGUACCCCAGCCGAAGCAUCAAACGACGCAUGGCGUUUCAAGUUCAGUGCUGGCUCAUUUCUUUAAUCAAGCGCUUUGCAUUGCCAUUAGCUAUUACAUUGCGUAACAGUGCUAAGCAUCAAGGCUUGCGUAAUAGUGACUCUUGUACCUUUUCAUUGACUAGAAACGAUAGUAUAGUAAAAGAAAAUUUAACAAACUGAGACACCAUUGCACUUGAAGAGGCACAAUUAACAAUCUGUUUGAAGGAUCAGACAGCAGUAAUCCACAGGUUAAUCGCAGUCAGUAGCUACGUUGAUGCAGUAGUACCCAGUGCUCAAACCGAGAGAAUUAUCAGAUAUGAAUAGAUGAGCACAUCAGAACACAGCGCAGCGUGUAACUUUCCUCUCCCAAUCCAUACAUGUGAUCCAAACGUUGCACAUUUUCACUUUCAGACAAUUUCAAUCUCUAAACGAACAGAUAUUCUGUAAAAGGGUACAGUGAGAAAAGAGCAACAGCCAUAACUUUUUAUAUCCGGCAACACACCACACGUACGAUCUGUUGAGAAGUUCAUGUUAUGAACCAAAAAUACUAAAAAGGUGCCGCACCAAAUCUAAGACCCCGUCCAAGGUUAAUGCAGACAUAAUUUACUCAGGGAAACCCCCCAAAAAAAAGACACGGUACAUGACAUCACUUCCUGUUCGCUUCAACUUAUUCAGCCAGCUUAUCAGCCAUCAAACAGUAUUUUCCUCUCACAACAAAUCAGCCGUUUCAGCUUUUCAGCCGGCUUAUAAGCUGAAGCGAACAGGCCCAACGGCUCUCGGACGGGUGGUGCGACGGUGAUCGCUUUACCAAACCGUUCGGAGAGACGACGCGCCCACUCAUUGAUCUCCCACUCAAGGAUGAACACGUUCACCAUGCGAGCGCAUCGUAAUUUCACCUGUGGUUCUAUGGUUACAUGCUCAAGCGCGUCGCCCUUCGCCAGGAUGCCGCACAGGAACUCCACCUGAGCCCGGAAACCGCGGAACCCACUCAUGUAGACCGACUUGAGGUGAUCAAGGCCGUGCAUAAAGGAGAUCCCCUUCCCUGUCACCUCCCCUUUCCAGCAGGAGCUGCUAAACUUAUAAUAGAACAUCUGUUUCAGAAAUCACCAUGCACAGUUAGUCAACAUACUGUACUAGGUUCGCUCUUUCCCAAAAAUAAAUCUUAAAAGUAUGAGAUCUGCGUUAUGCGCAAAUUAAUGGACUCUAUGUGCAUUCUAUGUAAAUCUGCAAAAUCAACAAAAGAGUACCACUCACAUGCACUUGCAGUAUCUCCAGCUGGGGUGCAAAUUCCAAAUAGCUAGCCAGUUGAAGGAGUCCACUGUGGCUAUUUGGACGAUAAGUGUGGAUUUUUAUUUCACAAGUUAAGUGCCUCAAACUCAUAAACAUGCAUGUUGGUCUUGUUACCAUUUGCACCUGAAACAUGACCCAAAAAAAAUAUCAGCAACUCUGCUUGAAGAACUGUCAGUCAAGUAAAGAACAUAUAUAUACACCAGGUAGGCAGGUACUUGUGAGCCCCAGACUGGAUGAUCUUCCUGCAUAGCAGCACGCAUGUUUAGCACCUUCACUGCUGAAAUACCAUGAAUUGCAGUGAAUGCAUGGCCCACUACUUUGUAAUUUUUAAACAUUAUUAUUGCCUUCUCUAGUUUUGAGCAACCAUGAAGUGCUAUAGGAACCACAUCCCCUUUGUAAUUAAAAUGAGCAAGACCAGGAACAUGAAAAUCAACCAUCUGGACACACAUACCUGAAAGUAGCAAAUGUCUAAGUUUAUCCAGUUGGUGUGGUAUAAUCAGAUCAGUCAAGCCAGAGCACGCGAUGAGCUCUAAAUCCUCAAGACUAGAACAGUUUAAUAGCAAGCCUGCAAGAUCUCCAGUGAUUUGAACAGAAUGCAAAAGAAGCCUUCUGAGUUUUGUAAAGCCACAUACAUCUGAGUACGGCUCUAUAGAGACAUGGGUGAGAAGCAAGGACUGGAUAAAAGGACCAUCUCGAGCACCUAAAGCCUCAAGAGGGAAGUGAUAAUCUCCUUUGGUUGGUCUUCUGAUACACCCUUUUGGCAACAGGUUAAUGUCUAUGGUCUUUGCCCUUGCUGCAGUGGCAAAGCAAAUCCACCUAUCAAGAUGAUCCGAGGACUCCUUCUCUAUGCCGCACCUGAUGCAGAACCUAUUGAGCCCUACUCCACUGUGCUGCUGAACAAUAGAAUUGACUGUCUCAAUGAACUCUGCUCUUUCUAUUUUGACACAAUCCUCGUCAUUGGACCGGUUUCUAGUGCCAUCAAAGCUCAGGUUAGGGUGGCGUGUCCAGAGCGGUCUCCAUUUUCUUGACACAAUGCUAGUCCUUGCAGCCUCUUUCAGUGACAGCAGUGACAAAACAAGAGUUUGGAUUUCCUGUGGCAAGAAAGAAUGUGCAAGGGUUGAGAGCUAUGAAAAAAACUGCAUGGUAGGCGUGAAUCGCGAUGACCACAGAUCACACAGUGCUUUAAACACUGCCUUCGUUAAAAUAUCAUAAACCGCUCUUCUAUAUAUUUUGCAAGGUAAACUGAGGACAUGCAAAUCGGACACAGGAACAUAUAAGAUAGCAUGAUAAACGUGGAUUUGCAGGAACAGGAAAACAAAAUUGAGAGCAAAACUCCGCUAGCCGAUUAUGUAUCUGAUAGCAUAGAUUCCCCAACCUACCCUAGUACCCUACGAAAGGAUCGGAGAGGAGACACAGGGCAAGGCAGGGGAAGAGGGGGAGAGAGUUUACCUCGGGGAGGUCGUCUAUGUGGGAGGAGGAGGGGUUGAGCGAGUCGUCGGUAGCAACGCGGUGGCGCUCCAUCCUCAUCCGCUUCCCCGCCGGCCGCCGCCUCCUCCGCCGUAGGCUGCUGCAAACUUCCGGCAGGCGCCGCCGCCUCCCCGUCCCCGCAGGCUACUACGCAUAGAGUGCGCUAGUUGGUCCCUGCUAGGCGCGCUGGGCCGCACAUAAGGCCCAAAACCAAAAGGCAGGCCUUGUGCUAUUGGGCUACACAUACUGGGCCGCCGCGGGCGCAACUGAACCGACAGCCCUUGAAGGCUCUCUCUGCACUUAACCAACAGGCAGACGACAGUAAUCCUCACGUUAUUAAUCUCUGCAACUACUGACCACAAUCAGUAGUACAGUGAUACAUACAGGGAGAAGGCAAAUCGAAAUUGAGACAUAAACCAGUCACGAUUCAACCGAGUAUCACACAAACCAGGAAGUAGAACUCAGAGGCAUGCUGAUUGCUGACUUGCUGAGCACACACCACACCACAUGUAAGUUUAUCUCCUAUAGUCCACACCUUGCGUACUUCGCUACAUAAAGUCCAAUCUUCAAAUAAAUCUUCUACAAAAGUUACAGCUGAGAAGUUUGGCGCCAUCGCGCGCUAGCAGCGGCACCACCUGUCCGUCUAACCAAGCAACACUAUAAACUCUCAAACUGCAAGCAAAACCUGGGUGUGAAGCGCCAGCGCACCACUAUUUUACAGAAGAAUCCUAAACCUUUUGAUCGCAUAAUGUGGCGCUUUCAGUAAUUUCAACCUCAGACUUGGAGCAAUGUUAUUCGUGAAAUGUUACGCCUUGGCAUACUUGCCAACAUAUGCCUGCAAGCAAUUAGCACGGCUCGGUUAGAGACUUGGAGCACAGGAAUGAGCUGAAAAUGAAGUUGAGUGAAGAGUAAAGGGAUACGAUGAAGGAGGGGGCUGAGGUUGACCUGUACGAGUUUAUUUAGUUUUUCUUUGGAGUAGGACAUGUAGAUCUCGAUCUUCUCUUUCGUUGGAGGUGUAUUUUCCACCGUGCUUGUAACUUUGUCGACAACCUUCUUCACGAUGGUUUUAUGGACCUCCCUGCUCAUCUGACCCUCUUUCCAUGUAGGCUUCAGUGCUUCCUUCACAAAGUCCGCAAGUGCAACCUUGAACAUCUUCAGUGUCUUGGAGUCCUUGCUCUUCUUAUUAUCACCAUCCUCAUGAGCCUCAGCGUCACUAUCUUUGUUCUCUCCUUUCUUACUUUCUGGAGGCACAGUUUCAUUGACCACUGAAGCAGCGGCAGCAGGACCAGACGGUGCACCUCCAUGAGGUAAGUGCAUAGAGUUACCAUUACUAAUACCGAGGGCGAUUGGCAUCUGGAAUGUCUGGGGAGCCUGCUGCUGCUGUUCAGAUGGAACAGCAAGACCAGGUUGGACUAUGCCUGUUUGUUGCUGCGCCCAGGGCCACUGAUUGGGUUGGACAGCUGGAGGUGCAGCAGAUGAAGUGGCCAUCAGGCUCGAAUUAACAUUAGGCUGUGAUGAUUGUAAUCCAACUGUACCAGUACCAAAAGCGGUAUUUCCAAAGUACUGUGCCAAGGAUGCAGUAACGCGGCUAACUUCUUCACUUUUUGCUGCAUUGUGAGAAACAGGAACUCCAGCCACAUCAGUUGAGCUGGAAGUUGGCACAAGAGGUAACCCUUGCAAGGGUUGAUUUUGCAUAUUUGGAGGCUGGAAAUUCUGCAUGUUUCGUAUGCUUUGAGAACUACUGUCUUGACUUAGCCUGGGGAUGUCGACUGUUGCCUGAAGCACAGUUGUUGGAAGAUUCUGUGGAACUUGACUGGCAACACUGAAAUUAUGUCCAUUAUGUGCAGAGGGAUUUGGCAGUGCCUGUGGCUCUAGACCAUAGCCAUGUUGGCCAUGCCCCAUAUUAGGAGCAACCGGCUGGCCCUGCGUGCUGGGAGUAUUAUUUGCAGAUGCCUGUGGAACUACAAAUUGCUCUUGCCUGUUCUGUUGUACAGGAAAGUUGCUCUGUUGCGCAUGGCUAUUCGAAUGGAAUGAGGAUGCAACCUUCUGCAAUUGGGUGGUGACUGGAAGAGUUGAUGGCCCAGGAAUAUGAGGAAUCGCGUCAUGUCUCUGAAGUAUUUGUCCAAGGCUUUGCUCUGCUAUUAUAUUAGCACUAUGCAUACCCGAUUGCAUGCUCAUCUCUGUUGCAGGAGCAUUCUGACCGCCCAUGCCGGAUAUGUUCUCAUUAUUCAUGUUAUCUGCAGUAAUCUGGACAGGAGUUAAUAACUGUGGCUGUUGUGAAACAGCAACUUCAUGUUUAUUUUCCACUUGUGAACGAAAAUCUUCCUGAGGAAUAAUCUGGUACUGACUCUUUCCAGCAUCUUUUGAAAGCCGGUUCUCGUACUCAUAAUGAGAAUCAUUUCUGCCAAUACUCUGAGAAAUAGGAUUUUCCCUGUCAUCCCUGGAUAAAAUCUGAGAAGUUGCACGCAUAGCAUUAUUUUGUUCACCCCAGUUUGAGUAGUCUCCUCUUGCUGAACGCCCAUCACUGUAAUUCAAAGGCUCAUCAGGUGCACUCACUCCUAUCUGACUCUGGGGAGCUUCCUCGUGGAGAUAUGGACAAUUUUCACCACGGCGACAUCGACCUUCAGCAAAAAACUUACAAGGGUUUUUAUUUACCCUACGGUGCUCAGUCCUAUUCCCAUAGGAUGAAUCAGGGCCAACUCUAUCAUGGACACUUUCCCUAGCCUCAUCUCUCCAUCCACCAUGAGAAGCAGAAUCACCAUGAGCAAAUCGGCAGCUAGCACCUCUAGCACACCUCCCUUUGGCAAAAUUAUAGCAUUGUUCAGUAGACCGAUAAUCCCUUCGGGGUUCAGAUCUUUCCCAUGGCCCAUCAUCAUAAUGAUCUCGAGAUUGCCUAUUACGCAAAUAGUCAUUUGGUUCUCGUGAAUCCAUGAAUUCCUUGUUCUGAAACCCAUAUCUUUCCCUUGGGUCAGCAGGAUAAUGAUCUUCAAAUGGCCUCUGCCCUCCAUCUUCAUGAAGGAACCUGCAAUUCGUGCCUCUUCUGCACCUGCCAGCCACAAAAUCUCUGCAGGGCAGAGCAGGCCCUCCAGAUGUUCUGCCUCUCUCAACCCUCCACUCAGGUCCACGAUCAGCAAAAUAAGGACUUCUGCUCCUUCCCCUGCCUCGCCCUAUACUCCUGCUUCUGCUCCUACUCCUGUUUCUGCUUCUGCUUCUGCUUCUGGAACGACUUCUGUUCCUGUUAACAGAAACACACAGUGUAAAGAAAAGGUACUGCUAGCAUACUAAGUCUUUCGAUGACAUUACAAUUUACAAAUAGUAAAUUCUAGUAGAAGUUGUGAAUGAAUUUUAAGAUAAUAUACCAUCUUCCAGAUCAAGAUUGAUUAAAACUGGAGAGAGAUUCUUCACAAGUACAACAUAUAUUAUCAAAGGCCCACAUUUUUCAACUCCUUGCAGUUGGUAGUGGAAGGAAUACAGCAUGCUGCUUGAGUACAAGUACAGGUGGAAAGCCAGGAAACCUAGUGGCCUCAACUUAAUUUACACAAUUCUUGUAAAUUCCAUCUUGGAUGCUUCCAUAAUAUAAAUUUGACCCAGACAUAGCAUUUUAAGUUGCUUGAACACUAUGCGCAUGGAACACAAAACCAAAGUGCCAAUACUUGCACAGUCAAUAAAAUUAGUUGUUCAAUCAUACCUGCGUGAUCUAUUCCAAACCCCUCUUGGAGAUGGACUGCGACUACGAGGCCUCCAUGCAUCUGGAUCAGAAGGCGCCCUAGAAGAAUAACCACGAUUACGAGCUGUACCCCAUCCAUCACCGCGUCUUCUGUCAUCUGCAUAUCUGUUCAUGCCUUGGUUAGCAGCUGCCUUGCUCCACUCAUCACGCUCAUCAGCCGCUCUGAGAAGCUGUGGUCUUUCAGAGGGUGCCUUAGGUUGCAAUUCCUUGGUAUCUUUAUUGAACCCAUCAGCCUGUUCCUUCUCAUGUCCAGCACCACCAUGGUGCAUGGAGGUAUCAGGUUUUGGGUGUACAUCACCUUUACGGUGACCACCUGUCUUAUCAGGAAGAGACUCAUCUUCGCUGAUCUCAACUAUAUCAUGAGGUCCUUCUUUCGCAUCCCACUUGGAACGCUGUUUCCUACUAUCACCAGCCAUUUUGUCCCUUCUUUACUAAUAUGAAAAAAGAAAAUGGAUGCCAAGUAAUUUCAAGAACAAGAUCCCCUUCCUCCUUGCAAAAAUUCUUCUGAAACUCUGAAAUAGCCAAGGAAUAUGUAUAUAGUUACAAUUAAUCAAGGAACAUACUGCUACGACAUUAAAAGCUUGAGAAGCCAGGCACAAAACCAGUAAUAACUGACAGGAAUAUGAAAAUGAAAUUAUCUCCUAAAGCCCAUUCUAAAUCUUCAAAUCAAAACUGUAACGAAGUUUGCAUGUCGAAAAAACAAUUUAAGCCAAUUAUGAACACCCAUUGGCAAGCUGUGGCUAGCCAACUCCACAAGUACGCUUCCUACCACAUGGCAGCUGUUUGUUGCUCAAAAAUUUAGUAACGGAUCCUAACUCUUUCAUGCCAAAAAUAAACCAGGCACGGUGUCUUAAAAUCCCAUGACUCUAGCCCUCAUGAGCAGAAUUCAUCAAGAACAAAAAGAUAGUGCAGCAUCUAAGUCAGUGGCAUAGGCAACAACAGGAGAUUGUCUACCAUGCAAUGGAGCAACCACAGUAACACGAGUUUGAGGAAACACAAAGGAAGCAAAGUCCAUGGGAAAAUCAUACACGAAGUGCAGUUCAAGUGCAAAGAGGAAUGAAUGUGUUGUUUGCAAACAUGGAAAUUUGUGUUAGCAGCGCAUUGUCAUUUAUUAAUUCCAUCGAUUAAUUGGUCGUAUUUCCUACUUCUCUUUACAGUUUCUUGUUUUUAAGACUACCGGUUGCAUCUUUUUCAAUGUCAUCAUCGUCAGAAACUAAAGCCAAGAAUUCUGGAUGGCAAGAGUUAACAGCUGAAUAGGCAUCACAGCAUUUUCUACAGAUUGGGAACUAGCUGACUCAUGAAUACUUUUAUACAAGCAAUUCCACAACCAGGAUUAUCACAAACAUUUCAAUUUUCAUUCGCCAGGGUGUUUCCAUAUCAAGACACAUCAAAGAAAUUUCUUUUGUGCAACUUAUCAUUACAUUUCAAAUAGACCAUACAUCCUUUACAGAUAAUAAUAAGAGGACUACAGGCCACCACACUGACAAAACAUACAUCUACAAAAUUAAGUCCUGACUAUCCAGAAAAUAUUUCAAGCAGCAACUGCAGAAAUCUUGGGCAUCGACAAGUUGCAUCAACUAUUGAGUUCCAGCAGUUUUGCCAAACUUGGUGGAUACUUAAGGUUCAGUUGCUACUGGCUCUGAUUGUCAUGAC
This 32745-nucleotide long non-coding RNA is filed under the name Setaria viridis. Its description in RNAcentral is "long non-coding RNA (SVIR_LNC006379)". The record is from RNAcentral. Lineage: Eukaryota; Viridiplantae; Streptophyta; Magnoliopsida; Poales; Poaceae.